UAGAGGAAAACAAUUUCAAAAGGAGAAUUUUUUUUUUAUAUUCUUAUAACAAAAACGCAAAAUUCUUCUUCUUCUUUUUGGAUUUUCGACUUGUAACACAUUUCCAUAUACAAAAUAAGAAAUACCAUAACAAAAGACACGACAAACUUAACCUGACUAUUACAAACUCUCACAUCACCUAAAAGACUGGAUACUACUAUACAAGACUAGAAAAUAAAACAUGAACCAUUGACUCAAAAACAUAAAAUGGCUCCUCGAGCAGCUCCUGAAUGCAGUGAUCUUGGGGUAUCUGUCAUGCCCAAACUCCGGUAAGUAAAUCCACACCUGUAUAAGAAAACUUAAACUAACACUAUGUGAGAUAAUAACGUUCCCUACUAGACACAUGCAAGACAUGGUUGUGACUAUUUUUGUAAAAUGGCUUAUUUGGCCAAAAGGUGGCUAGAAGUGCAAAAUUUGGCUAGGACCCCGCAAAUCCAAGAACCUAAGAUUUAUUAGGAAGACCGGACCCUAUGUGGGUUGCCUACGUAUCACGCCCCAAAAGACAAGAAUCAGGUAUGCAUAGUUCGGGCAAUUUUGGAUAUGGGCAAGAAUAAUAAAAAAAACAACUAAUCUAGACCAAAUAUAUUUUAUUUUUUUGUCUUGUUUUGAAACAUGACGAAACUUGUAAACUCUUUUUUGGAUUUUUUUGAUUUUUGAUUUUUGAAAAAUGAUGAAAAAGUGCAAAAUCUUUUUUUUUUAUUUUCAAGCUCUUUUUUUUAACGAAAAUGUGACAGAAAACAUAAUUAGGCCACAUUCGCUUUAUCUUCACACUUCACCCUCUCUUUUUCUUUUUUCUUUUUUCUUUUUUCUUUUCUCUUUCUUUUUUUCAUUCGCCCUCAAUUAUCAUUGGUCCGCCAAAUGACCCUUUUUCCCUUGAAGAAAUGCAACAUGUAGCACAUAGGAUGCAUCAAGAUGGUCUGUUAUUUUGGAUAAACCUGUCCUAGAUGGACCCAACCCCUGUGUUGAGUCCCCAAAGUCAAAUGCACAUGAUGCAAUCAAACGUUCCUACUAGGGAUCCGGCAUGAGGCUGUAUUUUUUCUAGGUUUAAAUCCUAGGGUUUUGGUCUAGACUUGGGAUACCCGAGCGGACAACUGGGGCCGAGGAGGGGGCGACGUACCGGGAGCACUGAAGUCUGCCCGUCCUUGUCGCUUGCCCAGCCUCGUUCUAUUUGGUAUAAUUUUUACAGAAAAAGCGGGCUACGCGAACGUAUGCACCAUUUUCAGAAGACUCAGAUGGGUGGCGUAAGAAGACAGUUAUAUACAAUUCCAACAAUAUCAAAGCGGUAAACAGAUAGAAAUUAACAUAAAGGUUCACAGAAUACAGUAUUAUGAACAAUAAAUAAAGCCAAGUAAAAUCAUGAAACAAGCUCGAAUUCUUGAACCCUGAACCAGAGAUUCUGGGUUCGAUCCCCAGUAGAGUCGCCAGAGCUGUCACACUUCCUUUUUCACUUACACCCCCGAAAGGGUAUAUAUUUAAGGGAUUUUUUCCAAUGAAAGGACAAUCGAAACGGUAUCGUUUAUUAAAAAUUAGAGUCGCCACUUGGAAGAUUUAUGGUGUCCCAAGUCACCGGUUGAAUCCCGAAUCAGGAAAAUAUGAAUCUGUAAUGCAGUCCGCGAACCAGAAAUUCGGGUAAGGAAUUAUGUUAACCUGGGAGAAGGUGUUAGGCAUCCCCGAGUUCUGUGGUUCUAGCACGGUCGCUUUGAUCAUACUUGGCUUAUUAAAAUUGAUUAAUUACUAACUUUAGACCCUAUGUGCAUUUGUCUAUUAAUCAUUUUUAAAUGAAGAAAAUUAUCUCGAAGCGGGUCACGCGUACGUGUACCCACGAUCUAUAACAUGAAAUUUCCUCCAUCCCUUUUAUUUGUUGGAGGGAUAGAGAGACAAAUUGAACUGCUAAUGUAAUACAAAGAAUUGCCAAAUGGUAAACAAAAUACGAAAGACCAAGUUCAUCUCAUGUUAUAGCCAAUUAGUCUAUUCCAUUUGCAAACAAAGGCUUGUAAUUAACGUCAUUUUUGUUAUCCAGUAAACUAUUCGUUAGUAUAACGGAAAACUUUACCAUGACUAGUAGCAAAACACAUCUUAUAUGUUGUAAAACUACGGGAAAGUACGUAACCCAGAAUUAAUGAGAUUCUUCCUCAAAAUAUCACAAGCAACAAAAAUUCACAUAAAUCUUCACAUUGAACCAUAAUUAUAAGAAAUACACGAAAUGAAACAAAGGGCGAAGAACAGGAACUUUCGAACCUCGACGAACUCAGAACGACAAACGACGACCUCGAACGGAACAAGCAACAACGAACGGAGAUUCGGACAGGUUUAACAAACGAGCUCCUUGAGAGACUCAAAGCUGCGGAACUUACAUAGCGAACUGAAAGAGAACGAAAAUGGCGAUGACUGUAGCGUCACAAAUGCUCGCCGGUUGCUGGAAUUUUCCGGCGGGUUAAAGACUAGCAACGGUGCGUCUGGAACUCGUUAUGCCGACGAGCUGUUGGAGCUUGUUUUUCCAGCGAGUUUCAGGCAUAGGUGGGGGUUGUUUGAUGAUUAACGUUGGGGUCGUUGAGGUGGAGCUUCUUUCAUGGCUGUUGCGGCUGAAACUUCAUUAAAGCUCUAUGUUAUUCUUUCAUUCCUUGUUUUGUUUGUCAAGUGAAAAGGAACUCACACACACAAGAUUGAACUCGAAAGAAGAUGAUGACGACAGGUAAGGGUCUGUUCGUUUUGGUCUUGAGAACGAGGAAGAGGCCCGGCGUCGAUGGGGAAGGUCGUUUGGUUCCCGGAGAAACAGAACGGAGGGGGGAAUCUGUUGAUGUUUGUGGUUGGUUCUUUGAGAGGAUGGGGUGUGAGGAAGGAGAUGGAAAACCAGGGUGGGGUGCUUGAAGAAGACGACG
Molecule: long non-coding RNA, 2918 nt
Filed under: Nicotiana tabacum (common tobacco)
Lineage: Eukaryota; Viridiplantae; Streptophyta; Magnoliopsida; Solanales; Solanaceae
Description: long non-coding RNA (NTAB_LNC018840)
Source: RNAcentral